Molecule: non-coding RNA, 2995 nt
Organism: Cyanistes caeruleus (blue tit)
Lineage: Eukaryota; Metazoa; Chordata; Aves; Passeriformes; Paridae
Source: RefSeq, a predicted model, not a curated record
CGAAUGGGAGAGUAGCAGGGAGCAGCCACCGGUGGGGUCCCGGCGUUCUUUCAGCGAAUUAAGGGGGUUUAACGUGCCCGUGGUGCUCUGCGAGCCCGCCGGGUAGCUACUGCCACAGGCCGAUAUGCACCGUGUGCAGCACCUCGCUGAUGCCCCGGGUGGAGCGGGGACUCCCAUGUGUUUUACCACAUCUCUGUAUAAAUAUCUGAAGGCAAAAAGUCCCCCUGAUAGUACUCCAAGAAGGCCUGUUUUAUCUGUCAGUGCAAGAAAAAUUAAAGAUAAUGCAGCAGACUGGCAUAAUUUAAUGAUGAAAUGGGAAAGACUAAAUGAUAAUGGAUUUACUACAGCAAACAAAAUAGUCAACAUGAGGAUCAGUGAGCAGUUUCAAGACAACAAACUGGAGAUAACAUGUGAUAACAAUGCCACAGAACCUGAAAAGCCAACCCCAAAAUACAAUGAAGAGCUGGACAAGUGCUGUGCAGAAUUACUUGAGACUUUAAAGCAUAUGACAAAAAUACAACUGAAAAUGGAAAAGCUUACUUCAACUACUAAAGCAAUCUGUGACUUGGAAACAUUCCACCACGGAGCUGGGAAUUGCAUGGCACCCUUCUUUCAUACAUGGCCCACACCGCACUUCUAUGAGGUUUCUCUGAAGCUGUCUGAAAUGUACAAGAAGGAGCUACAACUCAAGCAAACAAUUGUACAAGACAUAGCUCAUUCUGCUGACCAGGAUCUGAUGAUGGUGUAUUUAUCCUCGUGGUUGUACCAGCCUUACAUUGAGAACAGCAGCAUGCUGCUGCUUGAAGCCAUGCUGCUGGAAACAGGACACAGGCAGUGCUAGAAUUCCAAAGGUUACAUGGCUGGCUUCUAGUGGUGCUUACAUGAAACUGAAUUGGCAUAUUGCAAGGCUUACCAAUUGGCUUUGUAUGUGGAGGAAAGGAAAGCACAAAAAGAAGAAUCCAAAAGGAUCCACAUAGUAUCACAUGGUAUGUGAUUUUGAAAUGCUGUUGUUGCACACAAUAGUGCAAAUUCUGGCUUGGUUUUGAUUCUGGUGUUGUUGGGUACAUCAAAACACUCAAAAGAGUGAUCCAAGCCUGAGCCAGCAACUGGGGAAGGUUUAGAACAAGUCAGCAUUAUACAGAAAUUAUAUAAUAAGAUCUUGUCCCCUUGAAUUGAUUUUUUUUUUUCUUUUUCAAGAGAUGUUUCAUGAAAGCAUCUGUUGAAUAAAACAAAACCUGCUUUAGUUGAGGCUGUAUCCCAUCUUGUUUGCUCCCUGUCAUAGGGCUCAGUGCGUUUUUCUUUGGGUUACUGUUACUGAUGUCAAAUGGUUUUGGUUUGAAGGUGUGCCCUUCCCUCUGUACUGAUAGGAAAAGCAGGGUCACUUACCUAAUUAGUCCCAAGCUGAAAAAUCAUAAGCUUAGUAGGGGAAAUACAUCUGUUUCCUGCAGUAGCAGGACAGACAGACAUGAAUUGGCAAGUUUUCUUGAGAUGUUGCUCUGUUGAACAAUGAGGUUGUUUCUAGUAGCUAAUAAGAGUCUAUCCUUGGCCCACGAUUCCAGCAUCUAAAAAGAAAUUCUGCUGUAACUCAAGGAGAAUAAAGUUAGGAACAGCUUUGUUGGGUUAUUUUUUUUUUCAGUGGAAGUGUUUCACUUAGUUUAACAGACACCUUAAUUCACCUGAGUUGGGCCAGACCUGUGUCACUAUGGAAACAUCUCAGUACUUCAAAAAUAUUUUUCAAGGAGAAGAGAUCAGUUCACAUAUAGAAUUGUUCUUUUAAGAUGAGAGUAGGUGUGUUCUAUUUCCCAGCAUGUGCAAAUUGAUAGGGAAGGCAAAAUUGAAGCAAGUUUUCAUUUUCUGCACAGGUGGAAAUUGUGGUUUGCUCUCAUUCCUUAAGAGGAAAAAAGCUCUUCAGGAAGGGGUCUUCAUAUUCACAGACCCUCUUGCUUAUUGAUUGUUGUUGGGCACUGGAAGAUUACUGCAAAAUCAUUGUAGAGAUAUUUUCUGAUUCUACCUCUAAGCAGUUGAUUGUUGUAUUUGUAGCCUCAAGUAUAAUUAUUAGAUAGUCAGUACAAAGAGUAUUAUAAAGAAAUGCUCACUGCAAAGACUUUGAAAGACCAACAGAACUUUGCUUGAAUGCUGCCUUCACUUACAAAGUAGGUCUGUAUCCUCUGGCAGUUACCACCUCCUAAAGAAAGAGGGACAAAAACCCAGAACAAGUAGCUCAUUAAUAACUCAUUAAUGGACAGUAUCUUUCACUGUAACUACUCAUAAAGGGCAACAUUCUGGGUAACUGAAUUCAGCUUCUACUUAGGCAACCAAGAAAAACCCCACCAAACAGAAAAGCCUUACCCAAUUAUGUUUAAAGGGACAUAGAGCAGUUUUUAAUCUGUUAAUUGUAUUCUGUUUAGAUUAAAUUUUAUUAUUUUUCUUCAGUAACAAUACUAUGAAAAAAAAAUCUGUGUUGAUACUUGAUUUAAGAUUUAAUUUGUUGAUUUUGCCUCCUGUCUGUGACAGAUUUGUCCAAUGUCCCAGUAGUUGCAUUUCUUCAGUAACGAGGUGACACACAUUUUAAAGAUCUGUUACCACUUUUCAGUAAUGUCUGCUCAUUUAAUGCUGUUCUUUUUCACCUGCUAAACUUCUUGAAAGAAAAGACAGUGCCUUGGAUAAGAUGCUGGUAGUAUGUCUCCACAAAAAUAUAACUUGAUCCAAGGAUCACCUUUAAGUAUGACAAGAAUUCAAGUAAUUUGCCAAGCUUUCUCCCUGCCUAGAGCAACAGUCCCUUUGCAUUAUGAUUAAACAGUACAAGGCAGUGUGGAUUUACUGGGAAGGUUGAAGUGUAGAACUGAUAAAGGAUGCAUCAUCUGAAAAGUGUAAUACUAGUCUAACAAAAAUAGGCCAUGAUAGACUAAAGCGAAAAAAGAAUUUGGUACCACAUUAGGGAAAAUCAGAUCACUACUUAUGCAUCUUCCCUUUUAUGUCUACGCAACAGCAAUUU